CACGUUCUUAAGGCGAGCAAUGCUUGCGGAUGAACAAGCUUUGGCCUCGUCAUAUUUCUUCUGAUCAAUCAGGUAAAUCAGAACAAGUAAGUAGCAGUACAUCUCAAUCUCUGGCAGAGGAUUCUUAGCCGAAGGAGCUUGAGCAGCGGAGGUCGCUGUAUCAACAUCCAUCUCAUGCUCAUCUUCCUUGGGGAGGUACGAGGCGAUCCGG
Molecule: unclassified non-coding RNA, 211 nt
Filed under: Hevea brasiliensis (rubber tree)
Lineage: Eukaryota; Viridiplantae; Streptophyta; Magnoliopsida; Malpighiales; Euphorbiaceae
Source: RNAcentral